GAUGAACGCUGGCGGCGUGCCUAAUACAUGCAAGUCGAGCGAACAGAUAAGGAGCUUGCUCCUUUGACGUUAGCGGCGGACGGGUGAGUAACACGUGGGUAACCUACCUAUAAGACUGGAAUAACUCCGGGAAACCGGGGCUAAUGCCGGAUAACAUUUAGAACCGCAUGGUUCUAAAGUGAAAGAUGGUUUUACUAUCACUUAUAGAUGGACCCGCGCCGUAUUAGCUAGUUGGUAAGGUAACGGCUUACCAAGGCAACGAUACGUAGCCGACCUGAGAGGGUGAUCGGCCACACUGGAACUGAGACACGGUCCAGACUCCUACGAGAGGCAGCAGUAGGGAAUCUUCCGCAAUGGGCGAAAGCCUGACGGAGCAACGCCGCGUGAGUGAUGAAGGUCUUCGGAUCGUAAAACUCUGUUAUUAGGGAAGAACAAAUGUGUAAGUAACUGUGCACGUCUUGACGGUACCUAAUCAGAAAGCCACGGCUAACUACGUG
Molecule: ribosomal RNA, 497 nt
Filed under: uncultured bacterium
Lineage: Bacteria
Description: partial 16S ribosomal RNA
Rfam family: Bacterial small subunit ribosomal RNA
Source: RNAcentral